This 1766-nucleotide ribosomal RNA is filed under the name Salmonella enterica subsp. enterica serovar Typhimurium. Its description in RNAcentral is "bacterial LSU rRNA". It matches the Rfam family "Bacterial large subunit ribosomal RNA", at positions 912 to 2574 of the family's 2925-position model. Lineage: Bacteria; Pseudomonadati; Pseudomonadota; Gammaproteobacteria; Enterobacterales; Enterobacteriaceae. The record is from RNAcentral.
GUUUCGGCUAGGGGGCCAUCCCGGCUUACCAACCCGAUGCAACCUGCGAAUACCGGAGAAUGUUAUCACGGGAGACACACGGCGGGUGCUAACGUCCGUCCUGAAGCGGGAAACAACCCAGACCGCCCGCCAAGGUCCCAAAGCCAUGGUUAAGGGGGAAAAGAUGUGGGAAGGCCCAGACAGGCCGGACGUUGGCUUAGGAGCAGCCAUCAUUUAAAGAAAGCGUAAUAGCUCACUGGUCGAGUCGGCCUGCGCGGAAGAUGUAACGGGGCUAAACCAUGCACCGAAGCUGCGGCAGCGAACGUAUCACCCAAGACAACUUUACGGAGUUGACGAUUGACGGAGCGAAGCGACGUCAAAGCGUUCAUUAAAGUCGAGUUGGCUUAGGGAUACGUUCGUUGGGUAGGGGAGCGUUCUGUAAGCCUGUGAAGGUGUGUCGUGAGGCAUGCUGGAGGUAUCAGAAGUGCGAAUGCUGACAUAAGUAACGAUAAAGCGGGUGAAAAGCCCGCUCGCCGGAAGACCAAGGGUUCCUGUCCAACGUUAAUCGGGGCAGGGUGAGUCGACCCCUAAGGCGAGGCCGAAAGGCGUAGUCGAUGGGAAACGGGUUAAUAUUCCCGUACUUGGUGUUACUGCGAAGGGGGGACGGAGAAGGCUAUGUUGGCCGGGCGACGGUUGUCCCGGUUUAAGCGUGUAGGUGUGUGUUCCAGGUAAAUCCGGUUCACUUUAACACUGAGGCGUGACGACGAGGCACUACGGUGCUGAAGCAACAAAUGCCCUGCUUCCAGGAAAAGCCUCUAAGCAUCAGGUAACAUCAAAUCGUACCCCAAACCGACACAGGUGGUCAGGUAGAGAAUACCAAGGCGCUUGAGAGAACUCGGGUGAAGGAACUAGGCAAAAUGGUGCCGUAACUUCGGGAGAAGGCACGCUGACACGUAGGUGAAGUGAUUUACUCAUGGAGCUGAAGUCAGUCGAAGAUACCAGCUGGCUGCAACUGUUUAUUAAAAACACAGCACUGUGCAAACACGAAAGUGGACGUAUACGGUGUGACGCCUGCCCGGUGCCGGAAGGUUAAUUGAUGGGGUCAGCGUAAGCGAAGCUCCUGAUCGAAGCCCCGGUAAACGGCGGCCGUAACUAUAACGGUCCUAAGGUAGCGAAAUUCCUUGUCGGGUAAGUUCCGACCUGCACGAAUGGCGUAAUGAUGGCCAGGCUGUCUCCACCCGAGACUCAGUGAAAUUGAACUCGCUGUGAAGAUGCAGUGUACCCGCGGCAAGACGGAAAGACCCCGUGAACCUUUACUAUAGCUUGACACUGAACAUUGAGCCUUGAUGUGUAGGAUAGGUGGGAGGCUUUGAAGUGUGGACGCCAGUCUGCAUGGAGCCGACCUUGAAAUACCACCCUUUAAUGUUUGAUGUUCUAACGUGGACCCGUAAUCCGGGUUGCGGACAGUGUCUGGUGGGUAGUUUGACUGGGGCGGUCUCCUCCUAAAGAGUAACGGAGGAGCACGAAGGUUGGCUAAUCCUGGUCGGACAUCAGGAGGUUAGUGCAAUGGCAUAAGCCAGCUUGACUGCGAGCGUGACGGCGCGAGCAGGUGCGAAAGCAGGUCAUAGUGAUCCGGUGGUUCUGAAUGGAAGGGCCAUCGCUCAACGGAUAAAAGGUACUCCGGGGAUAACAGGCUGAUACCGCCCAAGAGUUCAUAUCGACGGCGGUGUUUGGCACCUCGAUGUCGGCUCAUCACAUCCUGGGGCUGAAGUAGGUCCCAAGGGUAU